Molecule: ribosomal RNA, 253 nt
Filed under: uncultured bacterium
Lineage: Bacteria
Description: partial 16S ribosomal RNA
Rfam family: Bacterial small subunit ribosomal RNA
Source: RNAcentral
UACGUAGGGUGCAAGCGUUGUCCGGAAUUAUUGGGAGUAAAGAGCUCGUAGGCGGUCUGUCGCGUCGGCUGUGAAAACCCGGAGCUCAACUCCGGGCCUGCAGUCGAUACGGGCAGACUGGAGUUCGGCAGGGGAGACUGGAAUUCCUGGUGUAGCGGUGAAAUGCGCAGAUAUCAGGAGGAACACCGGUGGCGAAGGCGGGUCUCUGGGCCGAUACUGACGCUGAGGAGCGAAAGCGUGGGGAGCGAACAGG